This 2488-nucleotide long non-coding RNA is filed under the name Ananas comosus (pineapple). RNAcentral describes it as "long non-coding RNA (ACOM_LNC001768)". Lineage: Eukaryota; Viridiplantae; Streptophyta; Magnoliopsida; Poales; Bromeliaceae. The record is from RNAcentral.
CGCAGCAGAGUUUGGUCUGCUGCAAUAGAAAGAAAGGAAGGGUUUAAUUGCUAUUGUAGCAACCUAUAGGCUACGUUUUGGUUCGGGUAUAAGUAAGAACUGCUAAUUUUAGGGAUAAGUACAAGUUCAAGUAUAAGCAGGAACUAGACCAAUUUUGCAUUUGGAUGAAAAUUGGAUUGUUCCUAAGAAUAAGGUAAAUAGUGUUUGGAUCGUUAGAUUGGAAUAAGAGAAAUAAGAGUUGUAAUUUGAAAUUAAAAUUAUAUUAUGUAAUUAAUGUAAUACCCUUGGUUGAGUUGGUGGGGGGGGUAUUACUAUAAUUUUUUGUUAAUGGUUAUCCACCCCACCAACUCAACCUAUAUAUAUAUAGGUAUCCAUUGUAGAGAGAUAAUUAAUUAUCUCGUAUUCAUCUCAAACAUUGAGCGUGGCUUGGUGGAGAUCGCGGAUCGAGUUCGGAUCAACGCCGACGUCGCGCCGGGGAGCCGUUCGAGCACACGAGCGUCGUAGUUGAUGCGUUGGGAGGCCGCGCAAGCGUGUGAUUCCGCUAUUUCGACUUCGCCAGCUUUCAAGGUGGGUUUAUCAUCGGAAUCCUACUCCUAUAGUAUAGUUGGUCGACAUGUAUAGUUACUAUUGCACGUUACUAUUAUUUUAGCUCAAAUUCAUGUUUGUGCAUGCGGUUUACAUUUAAACUGAAUUUGGAGCCUAGUUUUAUUAUAAGUUAAUUAUACAUGCCGGACUUAGAUUUGACAUAGGAGAAAACUAGCGUUCGGGACCUGUCAUAUGUUAAACUACCUGACUUAGCCCUAGGGGCCGUUAUAUUUUUAUACUGUUGCAGUAUCCUUAUGGUGAGUACCCCAGGUAGUUCAGAGUUAUGUUACGCUCGUGCUGGGAUGCCGAGCCGAUUUUUACAGUGGUGUUUACAUCGUUCCGGACUAGUGGGUGCCGUAGUGGUUGACGGCGGACCCGGAUUUGAUCGUUUCGAUAUCAGAUUGUGCCGAGGGCACGUGACUAGUGGUUGGUAGUCCUAUUGGACCUGUUUUCUUGACUUUAGCCUGUGAGAGCCUGAUUGAGCUCUGCAGAGAUACGCUUGCAUACUCGGUUGGGUCGCGCCCACGAGUGCCACUCCGGAGUCUGGGUUUGUGCUUUCGCGUUGAUGUCGCUGAUUAGUUUUGCUAUCCACGUACUGUUUAGUGUGGAGGUAGCGUGGCUUAGACAGGUGGGACGGGUGCGUUCACAGUCCCUAGUGAGAUUGGGUCAGAGUUGACAGUUACUACAGUUGGAUAAUAUAGAGCAUGAUAGUGUAGUGGCAUAUAGCUGUAGAUUUCUUUCCAGCUUUACCUACUAGCUUUGUUUCCUUCUGUAGACUUAGUGGGUGGACCGAUGAUGUUGAGGGCGGUACCCACUGAGGACUACUUAUUUUUAUAGUAGUUCUCACGCCUAGUUGUUAUCACUAUUUUGCAUAGCCAUCGUCUUCGGCUGCUCUGCUGUUGCCGAUUCAGAGCGAGGUAAGGGCGUCGCGAGUUAGAGCCCUACCAGUCGAGUUGCUGUGAUAGAGGAGCACCUGCUGCAGGUAGUAGUAUUUUGUUAUUUUGAGUUCAUGUACAUACCCGAAUUGUAACUCGCUAGAGCGAGUACUUUUAUACUUAGUUAUUUUGUAUGUAUAUGAGACUUGUUUUAUUCUACCUAUUUAAUUUCUUUACAGCUCUAUACUACUGGCUGUGGUAUUGUAUGUUUUACAGUUACCGUUACGCUUCGUAUACAAGAAAAAUUCUUUGUAUACGGCGGAUUUGUCGGCGUGCCCGGGGAACGUGUAAUCCGGGGCGUGACAUUAAUUAACAUCAAAAUAUUAUUUAAAAAUAAAUAAAUAAUUAAUUAUUAAUAAUAAAUUAAUAAUAUCGAUUAUCUAAUUAAUAAUAAUAAUAAUAAUUAUUAUUAUUAUUAAUUAUUAAUAAAUAAUAAUAAUUAUUAAUUAUUCUUAUUAAUUAAUUAAUAAUAAUAAUUAUUAUUAUUAUUAAUUAUUAAUAAAUAAUAAUAAUUAUUAAUUAUUCUUAUUAAUUAAUUAUAAAUAAUAAAUUAAUAAUAAUAAUUAUCUAAUUAUUAAUAAUUAAUUAUAAAUAAUAAAUUAGUUAAUUAUUUAAUUAUUAAAGCAAUAAAUAAUGAUUUAAAUAUAUUAAUUAGAUUAAUUAAUAAUUUACUGUCAUUAAAAUUAAAUUUAGAUUUUAGUUAACCUUGUUCUCAUUAAGGAACAAGCUAGUUCUAGGAAACGGGUGGAACAGCAGUUCCAGCCUUAUACCAGCUUGUUCCAGGAACCCGGGAACUACUGUUCCCGGAAACCAAACAUACCGUUUGGGAACAAAGGGGGGAACAAGGGCUUAUUCCCCCUCUUGUUCCCGAACCAAACGCUACCAUAAAGUACCCCAACCUCUUUUUUCUCUUGUUCCCAGCUGAGAACAUAUAUCUCUCUCAUUUCUCUCCCUCUCUCUCUCUAGAA